AGCUCCAAUAGCGUAUAUUAAAGUUGUUGCGGUUAAAAAGCUCGUAGUCGAAUCUGUGUCCCGCGCCGCCGGUUCAUCGCUCGCGGUGUUCAACUGGCGAGCCGCGGGACGUCCUGCCGGUGGGCUUAGCUCGCGUUAGCGUGGGCGGCCCAACUUUAAAUCCCUCCGCGGUGCUCUUGACUGAGUGUCGAGGUGGGCCGGCACGUUUACUUUGAACAAAUUAGAGUGCUUAAAGCAGGCUAAAAUUUCGCCUGAAUAUUGUGUGCAUGGAAUAAUGGAAUAGGACCUCGGUUCUAUUUUGUUGGUUUUCGGAACCCCGAGGUAAUGAUUAAUAGGAACGGAUGGGGGCAUUCGUAUUGCGACGUUAGAGGUGAAAUUCUUGGAUCGUCGCAAGACGGACAGAAGCGAAAGCAUUUGCCAAAAACGCUUUCA
RNAcentral lists this ribosomal RNA (432 nucleotides) under uncultured eukaryote. RNAcentral describes it as "SSU rRNA". It matches the Rfam family "Eukaryotic small subunit ribosomal RNA", at positions 587 to 972 of the family's 1831-position model. The record is from RNAcentral.